AAAGGCCCUUUCACCUUGUGUCACAUCUCUGAAAAAUGUGGAUUCGAACCUAAUGUACAGUAACCUGUGUGGAGUGUGUGGUUUAUGGAUUUCUAUGGCAACAAGAUCAUUCGCUUCACUUUGUAGGGCUCAGGGGGGAGAAGAGAGUUACAUCAAUAUGAAUAACAUGUAAGAGGCAUAUUGAGUCAAAGGAAGAUAUUAAGUGAUGAGCCUCAUUGACACUACGAUUAAGCGUAACAGUUGCAUAUGCAAAGUUAACCAGAAUCACAGUUCUGCUCUUGCGUCUGAACCCACCAACCCCUUUGGAGGAGGGGAGCUAGAAUCGCUGGACUGCAGCUGGGCGGCUUCAUGCCUGGAGAGAGUUUCUGAAGGAGAGGAGGAGGAAGAGGAGUGGCUACAGUGGGCCCAGACCUGCACGAGCGAGUCCCUGCUGCAGAGACGACGGGACUCAGACAUGAGGCUCCACGCUCUUCUGCUGCUGGGCGUCUGCUGGCUGAACGUGCCGACCAGCCCCCAGUCUGACAACAGGCAGCUGACUCGUGCUGUCGGACAGUCGGUCACUUUUCAAAUCCCAGUACUACAGCGGGGAUAUUUGAAAUAUGGAGAAUCUACAACCAUAGCAGCUGUCUUGAAUAGUGAGUUCAGUGUGUUUGGGAAGUUCAAAGGUACAGAGCGCUUCACCUGGGACAGAGCCACUGGAUUCUUCACGAUCACAGCCCUGAGCUCAGAGGACGCUGGGGUUUAUACAGUGGAGAGAAAGGAAGAGGAGCACACAAUGACAGUGGAAUUCAGCUUGACUGUGUACAGGGCUGAUGACAGUGUCCUUCUAUACGCUGGGGCAGCUGGUGGAGGAGCUGUGUGUUUGGGAAUUGUGGCUCUAGUGCUGUACUGCAGACUCCGAGGUAAAAAGCCCAGAGAUGAAGACAGUUCUCCUUCCAACAAUGGAGCUCCGGAAAGUUAUCCUGAGGAGGUGGCCUAUGCAGCUCUUGACAUGAAGAGACAGAAGCUGAGAGCAGCGCCCCCUGCUGGAGAGCAGCACACAGUGUAUGCAGAGGUGAAGGGUGGAGGGGGGCAGCGAGAGGCGUUAUAGACCAAACCCCACACCAGCUGCAGAGACCCUGGCAGUGAGAGGACAGAGGAGGCAAGUGUUCACAUCAGGAAGAAGAUACUGUAUAGAGCAGCAGAUUCAGUCCUGUACUACUGAGAAACUGUAUAUUUUAUACUCUGUGAGCUCAUUACUGUCUCUCUUCUACUGAGGUGCACUGUCUCUGUCAUCUUCCAGAGGAAGACACUGUGAGCUCAUUACUGUCUCUCUUCUACUGAGGUACACUGUCUCUGUCAUCUUCCAGAGGAAGACACUGUGAGCUCAUUACUGUCUUUCUCCUACUGAGAUACACUGUCUCUGUCUGUCGUUUAACAGAGGAAGAUGUCCAGAUGAAGCACACUUAGGAGUGUACUGUAUCUGUUCUCACUGUGUCAGGCUGUACAGUCCUGGACUUAGAAAAGGGGGGAUUGUGGGUUCAAAUCACACUUGAGGCUCAGCUGCUGUGUCCUUGAGCAAGAUGCUUCACUCAGGGUAUUUCAGCUGCAUACAGGAGAACAGAAUGAAGUUGUUUUGGAUAAAGAUUUUGCUGAAUAAAUGACAAGAAUAAUUUUAGUCCUGUAGUUGAGCAAUAGAUAAGUGUGCUUAUGGCUGUGUGCAGUUGUUCAAUGAGACAUCCUGGCAAUAUUAUUCCCAACAGACUGGAGAUGUGUUUAGUUGACAAUCACCACCACUAUACUGUAUGUGAAUAUGCAUGUUAAAACUACAGUAUGUAGCAGAGGGCAGUGAAUAAGGUUAUUGCUGCUGAGUUACAAUCUAGUGAAGAUUCAGUGAAGGCUAACUGGGUGUCGCUGCAGUACAAACAAUGAAAACGCUGAACACUAUGUACUGUAGCAAAGCUCAGUGCGUUUGUGUGAAAGAACCUACUUCUGUUUAACUGGACCCCAACAAGGCAGCAGGAGUUUAUUUCUGUGAACAGAACUGGGAAGUGGUCACACUGCAGGCUUGAACAGGAAAUGAUCCGACAGAAUCAGCUUUUCCACAGGCAGAAAACAAGCCCACACUCCAGCCUCUUCAGCAAAAUGUCUAAAUAUAACCUCUCCAUUUUUAAUACACUUCCCCUACAAUGUUUCCCCCUCAAUCAACAGUAUUUCACAAGCUACAGUGCACUGCUGCAGUUUAAUACUCGUUACAAAUGCGUGAGACGACAGUAGCACACCCACUUCAUAAAUAUGCUGUUUUAUAGUGUGUACGAAUUAUUCUGUUAUUCCGAGUUUUAGUUUAGAGUUGUAUGUUGAAAUAUGUCUCUUUGGUUUCACUUCCUCCGUAAGCAAUUAUAACAUCAGUCAUUUUAAUUUUUUGCUGUUAUAUAUCUUGUACUGUAUAAAGCUUCUUCGCAGUGCGAUGGGGGGAGCAGAGCUUGCCUUUCUAGCUCCUCUGAGCAGAGAGCUGAUUGGUGUUUCUGGGGUGGAAUUGUCAUCUCCCACACAGGAAGGUCCAAGUCCAAUUCCAGCCAGUGGUCAAGGUGCACGAAAAAGAGGUCCGAUUUAAAAAGAAGAGUACGCCUUUGAAUGAAUGUGUCUGGUACAUGUGCAGGUGAUGAGGAGUCUGGAGUAGUGCAGGCUGGUACUGUAGUUAUAUCCCCCUAAGCAGCUUGCAGUCCUCCUGACCUGCGAACAAUUCUGGAGACCCUGCCCGUCAGCGACAGAGAACUAGCGAAGCACUUGCACUAGUAGCUACUGCCUGCUGUGGGGAAGUAUUCUUAUUAAGUGUAAAUCACCGCCUCUGGAUGGAAGCAUUCUGCGAUAACGCUGAUAUGUGUGAUGUACAGUAUGGAUAGCAGUGGAUAUUACUUCAUGGAAUUCUUGAACUUUUCUUACUCAUUUGGACAUUACUUGGCUCAAUGUAAACAAAACUGUAUCAUGAUGUAAACAGUAAUGUUACCUGUGAGGGACAUGAAAAAAGCCAUUUAUGUGUCAAUGUAUUUGGCUCCUGCUUAAUGCUCCUGCUUAAUUUGAAUGUUGCAUUAAAUACAUUCGG
Lepisosteus oculatus (spotted gar) is the source of this 3082-nucleotide non-coding RNA. Lineage: Eukaryota; Metazoa; Chordata; Actinopteri; Semionotiformes; Lepisosteidae. The record is from RefSeq and is a predicted model, not a curated record.